AGAGUUUGAUCCUGGCUCAGGACGAACGCUGGCGGUGUGCCUCAUACAUGCAAGUCGAACGAUAAGGUUUCUUCGGAAAUACAUAAGUGGCGGACGGGUGAGUAUAACAUAGGAAAUCUGCCUUUAGGAGGGGGAUAACAGAGGGAAACUUCUGCUAAUACCCCAUAUGAGCCAAGCUGAAAUGCUUGUCUUGAAAACUCCGGUGCCUAAAGAUGAGCCUGUGCCUGAUUAGCUGGUUGGUGGUGUAAUGGACUACCAAGGCUUCGAUCAGUAGCUGGUUUGAGAGGAUGAUCAGCCACAAUGGGACUGAGACACGGCCCAUACUCCUACGGGAGGCAGCAGUAGGGAAUUUUGCGCAAUGGGGGAAACCCUGACGCAGCAACACCGCGUGAAUGUUAAGCCCUUCGGGGUGUAAAGUUCUGUCAGUAGGGAAGAAUAGAUGACUGUACCUACAAAGGAAGCACCGGCUAACUCCGUGCCAGCAGCCGCGGUAAUACGGGGGGUGCAAGCGUUGUCCGGAAUCAUUGGGCGUAAAGCGUUCGUAGGCGGUAAAGUAAGUCAGAUGUUAAAGCCCGGGGCUUAACUCCGGCUCGGCAUUUGAUACUACUUAACUGGAAUGCGGUAGAGGUAAAGGGAAUUCCUGGUGUAGCGGUGAAAUGCGUAGAUAUCAGGAGGAACAUCGGCGGCGAAAGCGCUUUACUGGGCCGUUAUUGACGCUGAGGAACGAAAGCCGGGGGAGCAAAUGGGAUUAGAUACCCCAGUAGUCCCGGCCGUAAACGAUGAACACUAGGUGUUGCGGG
Molecule: ribosomal RNA, 800 nt
Filed under: uncultured bacterium
Lineage: Bacteria
Description: bacterial SSU rRNA
Rfam family: Bacterial small subunit ribosomal RNA
Source: RNAcentral